This is a long non-coding RNA of Chiroxiphia lanceolata (lance-tailed manakin), 237 nucleotides long. RefSeq lists it as uncharacterized. The transcript has 3 exons. The record is from RefSeq and is a predicted model, not a curated record. NCBI's taxonomy places the organism in Eukaryota, Metazoa, Chordata, Aves, Passeriformes, Pipridae.
CAACCAAGUUAAGCAGAAGGGCAUUCAAACCCAGAGGAGGAACUGACACCACGGGACUACUCCUAAGUCUGUGCAGGACAGGCAGAAGAACUCUACUCUUCUAGAAGCAAAGGAUGCUUGUUUGUCUUAUGUUACACAGAAAUCUGCUCCACUCCUUUUACACCCACCCUUGCAGGAUUCCAUCCCUUGCUGAUCACAUGCAAUAGAGGAUGCUGCUUGAGUCCACAUGCAUCAAGC